UUGCUGGGGGGAUUAGUGGCGAACGGGUGAGUAACACGUGAGUAACCUGCCCUUAACUCUGGGAUAAGCCUGGGAAACUGGGUCUAAUACCGGAUAUGACUCCUCAUCGCAUGGUGGGGGGUGGAAAGCUUUUGUGGUUUUGGAUGGACUCGCGGCCUAUCAGCUUGUUGGUGAGGUAAUGGCUCACCAAGGCGACGACGGGUAGCCGGCCUGAGAGGGUGACCGGCCACACUGGGACUGAGACACGGCCCAGACUCCUACGGGAGGCAGCAGUGGGGAAUAUUGCACAAUGGGCGCAAGCCUGAUGCAGCGACGCCGCGUGAGGGAUGACGGCCUUCGGGUUGUAAACCUCUUUCAGUAGGGAAGAAGCGAAAGUGACGGUACCUGCAGAAGAAGCGCCGGCUAACUACGUGCCAGCAGCCGCGGUAAUACGUAGGGCGCAAGCGUUAUCCGGAAUUAUUGGGCGUAAAGAGCUCGUAGGCGGUUUGUCGCGUCUGCCGUGAAAGUCCGGGGCUCAACUCCGGAUCUGCGGUGGGUACGGGCAGACUAGAGUGAUGUAGGGGAGACUGGAAUUCCUGGUGUAGCGGUGAAAUGCGCAGAUAUCAGGAGGAACACCGAUGGCGAAGGCAGGUCUCUGGGCAUUAACUGACGCUGAGGAGCGAAAGCAUGGGGAGCGAACAGGAUUAGAUACCCUGGUAGUCCAUGCCGUAAACGUUGGGCACUAGGUGUGGGGGACAUUCCACGUUUUCCGCGCCGUAGCUAACGCAUUAAGUGCCCCGCCUGGGGAGUACGGCCGCAAG
This 800-nucleotide ribosomal RNA is filed under the name Arthrobacter pascens. RNAcentral describes it as "bacterial SSU rRNA". It matches the Rfam family "Bacterial small subunit ribosomal RNA", at positions 80 to 892 of the family's 1533-position model. Lineage: Bacteria; Bacillati; Actinomycetota; Actinomycetes; Micrococcales; Micrococcaceae. The record is from RNAcentral.